This 7374-nucleotide long non-coding RNA is filed under the name Brassica napus (rape). RNAcentral describes it as "long non-coding RNA (BNAP_LNC026568)". The record is from RNAcentral. Lineage: Eukaryota; Viridiplantae; Streptophyta; Magnoliopsida; Brassicales; Brassicaceae.
ACUUUAAAUUUCCUAUCCUUCUUGCUUUGUAGGAUGCUGAAAUCUGCUGCUUGGGUGUCGCACAGUAUGAGUUUUACAAUUGUCGACCUGAGAUAGUGAUGUAUAUAUGAAGAUGAUUAUUAUUUCGUUUUGUACUAUUGUGUUAGACUUACCUGUUCAGCCGUAGACCAAUCGUGGCAUCAAUAUUGAGUUCUGGGUGGCAAGGUUUUAUUUUUUGUAUUAUGACUAUCUUCCCGACGACAUCUGCACAUUGAUUUUAGAAUAAAAAACUAUGUUUAUUUAAUUAAUAAUGGAAUGACUUACUUACCUGGUAAGUAGGUGGGUGUAGUUGCUAACCGCAAUAGAUUUCUGUAGUUCUGAGGAACUAAAGUGUGAACUGGAUAUACCGGACCGUCGAGUGUGACGUUCAAUGCUAUUGUUGUUUGGUCGACCCGAAUGUAAUACGGCAGUUGGGUGAGUUUCCGAUUUCGUGGAUUAUUUAUGACGGAAAAUCCCGAAAACUCAUAUAUAUCUCCUUCAACUAAGUAUUUUGGAUCAUUCGGCUGAAUGUUUCCGGUUAGCCGACCUUCCAAUAGUUGUCCCUGAGUGUGAACAAAUUUUGUUGUGACCAACCGAUUUAGUAAAUAGUGAGUAGCUUAAAUCAAAUUUUGUUGUGGCUUACAUUAUGGUCGUAGCAUAGGAAGCCGGUGCAAAUUUGAGUACUAUCGGUUUGAUGUUUUCUGAUGUCCCAGAUAUUUCUUAUACAAACCGUGAUGGGACGCAUUGAAAUCCCUUCUCUCAGUUGGUGGAUUUUUUGAGGAAUUUGUUCCAUGUAAGAUGUCACUGUAAAAAUUCGAUUUCAAUAAUGUAUAAAUAUUAUUUGUAUAUUUUUAAUUAUUACACACAUGGAUAUAUUUUGGAACUUAAAUUUUUGGGCAUACAGAACACGAUUAUUAAUUUCAUAUUGUUUUUAUGUGUAAUUGUAUUUAUAGUGAUGGUGAUGUUAUUUUACUUUAAGGUUAAAUAUUAUCAGAGAUUUAUAAGAUAACUUUUAAUAAUUAACCUAUGUCUAAAUUAACUGAUAAUAUAUAUAUACAUCAAAAUACAUUUUCCAUUACGGACUUGAGGUGGCUUUUUAAGGAAGCUUUUAUAAGAAACUAUGAAUUGUAUUAAACUACAUAUAUUUCCCACUAAAAUAACUACGAACAGUGCCAUAUACUGGCUGCAAAAUUAUUCUUAUAGUUUUAGUAAAACGGAGUAAUUACUAAAAUAAUAUAUAUACAUUAGAGGUGUUCAAUCCGGAUAUCGGUUCUGUUUCGAUUUGGUUUUCUCGGGUUUUCGAUUUAUAAAAUUAGCUACCAUAUUAAAACCAUAUUUAAUUUGGUUUGGUUCGGUUUAUAUACCGUCAAUUUUUGGUUUACUCGAUUUUAUACCAAAAAACUGUAAAUAUUUAACUUUUAAAUUUUUUUGUGAAUUUAACUUUAUAAGAUUAGAUAUCGGCUCUAAAUUUAAUUAUAAUAUGGAGAUAUUUUGGUUUCUAAAUAAUCAACUUUUAUUUUACUAUUUAAAUAAUAAUAGUGAUAGUUUUAUGGAAUAAAAAGAUUAGUUUGAAACGGAUAUGUUUAGGUUUGAAGAUAUUUAAUAACAGUAAUAGUUUUAUGGAAUAAAAAGAAGACCAAAAAAGUAAUAUAUAACACAAUAUUCACAUAAUACAUCUAGCGACAUCCAUGGCUAUAAGGCCAGCACUACACCCCAUCACACCAAGAUUCAACCUUUUUAUAUUAUCCCUAGGUUUAUACUUGGAUUAAAUUCUAAGUGAAUAUAUAAUACUUUCUGAUGAGAGCUAAAUAUUGAUAGUGCUUUCUUAGGUGGAUGGCCAACUGUAUAACUAAAUAUAUUGAUACGACAUAAAGAAUAACUCAAACCAACAACUCAUAGAUUGUAAGAUUGUAUAAGAGUCACCACUCUGAAUAUAUGUAACGGCCAAUAUAAUAUAAACAUUAUGUGAUCGGGUUAUUAAAUAUUUGUAUGGGAUAAUACAUAAGUUUUAACUUAAAAAAAGGGGCAAAGAUUUGUUUACCUGCAGUUUGCGGAGGAGGUAGAGGAGGUGCCGGAGGUGGGUGCUCCAUUCCUUUUAUAUUUAUAUCCUUAUAAUGAAACCGAUUACCAGUUAGACUGAUGAACUAAGAUUUGUAUCUUCUUGGAUGAUUAAAAAAUUCUUACCCUUUCACAGUUGGUUGGAGUCUAGCGUUGAUUAAAGCUUGGUAGACACUUCCAAUGGUGAUUGCAGUAUUUUUUUCAAAAUGGAAAUAGAAAGCUUGGUUCUCCGUGCAACAGCUUAAAGGAAUGCUUCGUACUUCUAUUUUCUUAUUUUGCUGAGAGUUACGAAAUAAAAAACAAUGCUUUAGGCAUUGCAGCUAAUGCACAAGAUAUGCAAAAAUUCUCUUACGUUAUUGGAAAUAAAUAUCAAUUACUUGAUUGAUUAUUUUUACGGUACUAAAUUUAUGCCGUUGAACACUUUUAAGGAAAGUGGAGUAAUCAUGGUUAUUGAAAACACGUUUUAAAAAAAUAUAUAUAUAUGGACUUGAAAACCUCAUUUUUUCCUUGAAUGUUGUUGCUUUCAUUACGUGCAUUUUUCAAAAAACAUUCACAGUUCGUGAAGAAUGAUUUUCAAAUACAGAAAUGAUUGACCUGUUUGUCACAAAGAUAGAUUUCAAAACACCUUAAGAAACAGAAUUAUAAGCCUUAAGAAGUAGAAUAAUGGUUAUUAAAACAUAGGCAUUCAGAGUAUAAAAAAAACUUUAGAAAAACUGAAAGAAAUCAUGAGUCAAUAAUAGACUGGAAAAAAAACUUUAGAUAUAAUCCCAUGCAAGACGUAAGACGCACACGAAAGAUCUACACCCCACGCUUCAGGCGUUUUGCUUUGCCCAUCUCACCAAUGUCACCAUUUCUCUUACUUCCCUCUGAUGGAUCCACACUGGUUUUGGAAGCUCCACACACGUUAGCUCCAGUCUCAAAUGUCUCCUCCGAAGUUGCCGGAUUGUAGUUUCCUCCCGCAGAUUCUGUGACUGGUGGAGUGUCCAGAGGGAGAAUCUUGGUCACAGUUAAAGAUCGAGACUUCCCAUCAAAGUUGUGCUUUGUAACUUUCACACAAAAGUUAUGUUUCUGACCGAUAGUGCUGAUUAAAGCUUCCGGGAAAGGCACCUCUUGGGUAACUCCUUGGUCUCCAUUAGCCUGACAUUCAAGAUUACCAAUAUUCAAUAGCAACUUGAAGACCAAUAUUCAGAGUACAGAUACUAACAGUUCCGACUGAUGAAACUUACCUCAAAAUAGCUGCUGACUAACUCGGCUGCAUGUUUCCCAGUUAACUCAAAAUCAGCAUCACCAAGCAGUACAAAAACAGCUUGCUCACUGUUGUCAUAGACAGAUAUCUGUGCACGGUACCUGCCAUGAAGAAAUUAGAAGCUAAUACCAUUCAAAUUGCUACUGAGAAUUGAGAAGUGAGUAUAGAGUAAAUACUGUGGUACUCCUGAUAUGUUGACUUUCCCACAUUUUGAACACAUCAAAGAAGUUGGGCCUUUUGUAGCCUUAGUAUGGCAACCACUGCAUGAUAUGUAAUACCAGGUUGAACCAUGGACCACAUCAUCAAUCGUUGCCGUGCACUAAAAAAAAGCCUCCUAGACAGCAAAGCUAUAUAAGACGCAAAGUUUUGGAUAAAUGACUAAGAAAUAAUUAGACCAAGUCGUACCUUAUUAGAUCCCUGCUUGAUGUAGGAGAAUAUUUCUCCUAUGGUCAGUGUCUCCCUUUUAGUAACCACUUCUGCAUUAACCAGCUCAGCAAUCUGUGGGUUAGAGCCCAACCUGAGACAGAGUAGUCGCAUUUUGAUCCAUUCAAUCAUUGAUAUGGGGUGAGGCAGCGAAAGAUUAAAUAUAAAAGUGAAAAUAUAUAUAGAUUUACCAGCUAAAGUAGUCGAUUGUAGGUUGUACAUCGUAGUCCAUAAAGACACGCGAGGAGGACAUUGAAGUCAGUGCCAGAGUACCUGGUUUAUUAAGCAAAACCCAUUUAAAGACCAAAAAGAGUAGAUAUCUAAAUGUAAGAAAGUUUUAUAAAGAUAGAAAUUGAACCUCCGAGACUCUUAGUGUUAACCGUAGUGACCAAUAACACGGUGGGGGUGCCUUCGUAUGAUUUGAAUUUUUUGCAAAAGUCUCUUGCAGCCUGGUCCCAAAGGUAGAGCUUCAUCACAGGUCCACUGCAAAAAAUCGUCACUGAAUGGUUAAUAUAAGUAGACAGAUAAAGUGUUUAAGAAAUAAUAAAAAACUUACUCGUAUGAGUGCACAUGAACCAACACAUGCCUCGCCCUAGCUAUCUCCACUUCAUCAAGAACUGGGGUCCCAAUGAGACACUGUCCAUUAACCACCUUCAUGUGCCCAACAACAUAUAUACCAUUGUUCAUCAAGCGUGUAAGUAAGAAGACUACACAAUAGCGUUCUACUAUUUCAUGACCAGACAAAACUGAAACACACAUAGAACUCAAGCAUCCUAAUCAAACUAUACUACAAUAGAACCCUCAAAAAAAAAAAAAACAAAACCCGAGUGUUGUAAAAAAAUCCUUCCUAAGGCUAUAAACAAAAUUAGUGAAUAUCAUUUGUCAUGUUCUGUUCUGAAAGAGUGAUCGCAGAAACUGAUAAAGACAACGAUUCCAGAGAAUGCUUAUCACAAACCUACAAUACAUUUUAACAAAAUUUCGAAAUCAACCGUGAAAGUAAGAAGAGUGCGCAAAAAGUAAACUACUUUCUUAUGACCAAACCAAAACCAAACACGCAUAGUACUGAAGCAGCUAACAGAUCCAAACCAUACUACACUACAAUACAAUCAUUUUAACAAAUCAAAUUUUAAGCACAUUGUAAGCAAAAUUCUAGAUUUCUAUCUGAGCAGCAACGAAGACAAAUACCACAUCAAGCAUUGCAACUCAGAGAUGGUGUGGGUGAUAACUUUUCUUACCGUAGAGGUCUCCUUUGCGAUCACAGCUAGCUUGAAAAUCCUCAAAGGAAUGAAAACGGAAUCUGUCUUCAUCAAAAGGGGUGGGACUGUCUUCAAGAACAGAGAGCUCCGAGUUCCAUGAGAACGACACCAUCACAGCAUGAUCAGAAACCCGAUACACGGUUUUGUUGCUUGACCGAUAAAAAUUGUUGAGCUUGUAAAGCAAUCCAGGCUUCAUUUUAGGCAAGUGUCUCUCAAUACGGCUUGGCGGAAUGAAUCCUUGGAUAACAGAUCCCUGCGAGAAAAUACAAAACCAAUCAAAUCUUUGUUUUAAUUUUGUAAAAAUUAAAGUUAGUGAAAAAAUUGGAACCCUCUAAAUAUCUAAAUAAAAACUUUAAGAACGAUCUAAUAUGGUAGAACGAAGAAACGCGAGAAAAUACAAAACCAAUCAAAUCUUUUUUUUAAUUUUGUAAAAAUUAACGUUAGUGAAAAAACUAACAUCUAAAUAUCAAAAAAAAAACUUUAAGAACGAUCAAAUAUGGAAGAACGAAGAAACGCGAGAAAAUACAAAACCAAUCAAAUCUUUUUUUUUUAAUUUUGUAAAAAUUAACGUUAGUGUAAAAAUUAACGAUAUUAAUCAAGAUCUAAAUAUCUAAAUAACAACUUCUAAGAACGAUCUAAAUAACAAAGAACGAAAAAAAUAUCUAAAUAACAACUUCUAAGAACGAUCUAAAUAACAAAGAACGAAAAAACUUAAAUCACGAUCUAAAUAAAAACUCUAAAUCGAUCUAAAUAAUCACGAAGCUAAAAACUAUGUUGGGUGAAAUCAAAUACCUGCUCGUCUAUUAGAAGCAUCUCAAGGCCAAUAAGCGUCUUCUUUAGAGGGUUCCAAGCCUCCCAGAAAUGAAUCAAGCGGAAACGCAGCUGGGUUUCGUGGGGACCCGGUGUGACAUCGCGGAAAAGCAUGAUUUUUUCAUCGUGAUCGGAGGUAACAUGGGAUUUUCCAUUCGGUUUCAUCGCCAUAGAUUAAGGAGAGAAGUUCGAGGUUUGGUUUCCACUCGAAAGAGAAUAACAGUAUAUAAAGGAGGAGGAGAAGAGCAAACGGAAAGGAACUCAUCAAGAAGAAUUGAUGGAUCGAGAUGUCGUGGGGUAUUGAUUGUAGAGAUGUUGAUCGAGAGAUCUGUUACGUUGAAGAGCAAAGAGAGAAGACGAAGAGAUGGAGGCGCAAAGCAUCGGGGUUUCCGUCGCGUUUUGUUUUUUUUUUUUAAUAUCUAUCUAUCCUAAACCAAUUCGAAACCCAUAGAAAAUCUAUAGAAAACCAUAUCGAAGCCCAAAUCAAACCAAUUCGAAGCCCAAAUCCCUAUAUCCGUCCCGCGUGUGAUCGAAGCCAAAAUCGCUAUAUAUCCGUCUCGCGUGUUUUCAUUAUUAAACCGAUAAAGACGAACCCAGUAAACCAAAACAAACGCAUCCUGUAUCCUACGUGUAUUAAUAAAAUGUUAUGAUUGGGGGAAAAUAUUUGCCGACGUGGAUAGGCUUAAAACACUCUAUAUGUUCCUUUUAGUAUAGGAUAGAUGACUUAAAAAUGUAAGAGCAUCUGAAUUGAUGAUAUCUCUGUGGGUAUCUCAACAAUUAAUUAAUGUAUUAUAUUAAAAAGGGAAGAAAAAGAAUUAAAAACGUUUCUGCUCGAAGAGAUUGUUCGCUAUUAAUAGCUUCUGGUCUCUCUCUUCUCUGUUCUCUCUCUAUCCAUCUUUCACAGAGAUAAGAUGCGACGAAGCUUUCACCGGAUUUAAUCCGGUCUAUGACUCCCGAUGGUUCGGGCUUCUGAUUCUGGGAAGCGGUGGUUUACUCAACACCGUCUUCGCCGGCUUUUCUCUUGCUUCUCAUCGUCUCCGGCGGUGUUGUGGGCGAGUUUGGUCCCGGUUCUUCUCCGGUUCCUCUUCGACCUCUGCUUCUCUUUGCUUUCUUUGGAUUGACUGACUCUCGAUCUGAGAAUCGGAUUGGUCUCUCAGAAAAUAUGUUUAUAAUCUUUUCGUAGUCAAGUUUAUCAAACUUUCAAUAGAUAUAUUGAUAACUCAUUCAACUUUUCUUGUGACAUGGUAGAUUGUAGAUAAUUUUUUUUCAAUUUCAAUAUGGAAAAAAUAUUUCCGCAGCAAAACCCCGGUUUGUAAACAAUAUUCGUUAAGCAAACCAUGAAGAAUCCAGGUAAAAAUUCUACAUUGUUUUCAAAGAUUUCAAUACUUCAUAAGCGCUUUUAACUUCUGCUGGUAGUACCAUUCUUAGAAUUUUAAGCUCAGAACAUAGAUCUUCCAUAUUUACAUCUGAAUGUUCACCAUGCCUACGAAAAUCUCCAAGUCUAACACAUGAUUUUCAUCAGCUCAUCAUCACUAGUUGAUUUCAGCUUAAUUAAAUAAACAU